ACGGCGGUGGACAUUCACAUUACGGAGGCAUCCGGCAUUGAGGGGCAACCAGUUCAUAUCCGCAUUUGUCAGUGUAUUCAUCUUUUCAUGCUGUAAAAUCAUUCAAUGUGGUCAGACUCUCAACUUGAAUUCAUCUCAGGAGACUGUUUUUCAGCGCAUUCCUUUGGUAUGCGCUACCGUUUUGGUUCGCAACAGAUGGCGCGUCAAUUAUCUUGUUUCGUGCUUUGUAAGCGACCUAGUUCAUAACAGAGAUUUAUGACCGUUACCGGUGUAUUUCUUUGAGGGAGUUUAUUGUUGAUAAAGUAGAUGAAAAGAAGUUUGGUACCUAAAGUGGAGGUCAUGACUUGCUCCCAGUGCACGGGUAGGGAACUCGGUUGCUCGAGAGCCAUACGCUGCUUGUUUUUGAUCCCUCCCUACUCCAACACACCAGGAUUCAAUUGUUCGUGAUCGCGUCAAGCCUCUUCAGAGCUGAUCAUUUCAAUCAGGUGUGUUGGGAGUAGGGAGGGAUCGAAAACAGGCAGGGUGUGGCUCUCGAGGAACCGCCAAUGUCGAAUGGCUCUGCAAGUUUAACAAAAGAUGCAAUACCUAACGGCCUGGUCCCUGACCCGCAGACAGCAACUCAGCCAAAGACAGAAACGUUAACCGUGCGCACUUCUUGGCCAGGUAGCAGAUGGCGUCGUCCUUCAGCCGGCAGCAUCCGCUGAGGUCGAGCG
Molecule: long non-coding RNA, 713 nt
Organism: Hippocampus comes (tiger tail seahorse)
Lineage: Eukaryota; Metazoa; Chordata; Actinopteri; Syngnathiformes; Syngnathidae
Exons: 3
Source: RefSeq, a predicted model, not a curated record